This is a long non-coding RNA of Siniperca chuatsi (mandarin fish), 348 nucleotides long. RefSeq lists it as uncharacterized. The record is from RefSeq and is a predicted model, not a curated record. NCBI's taxonomy places the organism in Eukaryota, Metazoa, Chordata, Actinopteri, Centrarchiformes, Sinipercidae. The transcript is spliced from 3 exons.
CAGGUAGCUCCGCCCUCAGAUCACAGGUAGGUGAGGUAGCUCCGCCCUCAGAUCACAGGUAGGUCAGGUAGCUCCGCCCUCAGAUCACAGGUAGGUGAGGUAGCUCCGCCCUCAGAUCACAGGUAGGUGAGGUAGCUCCGCCCUCAGAUCACACGUAGGUCAGGUAGCUCCGCCCUCAGAUCACAGGUAGUUCCGCUAGCUCCGCCCUCAGAUCACAGGUAGCUCCGCCCUCAGAUCACAGGUAGCUCCGCCCUCAGAUCACAGGUAGCUCCGCCCUCAGAUCACAGGUAGCUCCGCCCUCAGAUCACAGGUAGCUCCGCCCUCAGAUCACAGGUAGGUGAGGUAGCU